This 425-nucleotide long non-coding RNA is filed under the name Rattus norvegicus (Norway rat). Its description in RNAcentral is "long non-coding RNA NONRATT027309". The record is from RNAcentral. Lineage: Eukaryota; Metazoa; Chordata; Mammalia; Rodentia; Muridae.
AGCCCCGCCAGGAUCGGCUCAAACCUCAUGUCCAGCUGAUCAAGACAGCCAUCUCCCCUCCCCAGAGGCCUGCCAAGCCCAGUGAGAAGCCCCGACUGCGGCAGAUACCCUCGGCUGAGGACCUAGAGACAGAUGGUGGGGGAGUGGGACCUAUGGCGAAUGAUGGCCUGGAACAUAGGGAGUCAGGCCGUGGGCCGCCUGAGGGCAGAGGGGCCGUUUCUCUGCAGCAACACCAACAGGUGCCACUCUGGGAGCAGCAGCAUCUUGCUGGGCGGCUCUCCCAGGGAGGCCCCGGGGACUCUGUGCUGCUACCUCUGGCCCAGAUUGGACACCGGCCCCUGUCCAGAACCCAGUCUUCCCCAGCCGCACCUGUCUCCCUGCUGAGCCCAGAGCCCACCUGUCAGACCCAAGUCCUCAACAGCUCA